UCCCUCCUUUCCUCAGCAAAGGGGGCCAACUGAGGCAGCGAGGUGGACGGUUCCCCCACAGCCCCAGCUCUUAGUGGUGGAGUGGAGCCCAGCCCUUCCCGGGUGGUCAUGCGCGAUGGAGUCCAUGCUUAGAGGCUUCCCUCUCCUCGGUUCAGGGUAUACCUCGGAGCACCCGUAGCCUGAGAAGCUGCCCAUCACCUGGGUGACCGUGGGAUCAGCCCCCGGCUCAGGAUGAAGGCCAACUCACACUAUGGAGCAAUCUGAAAGCAGGCCAGUGUCAGGCACCUGUGGUUCCAGGCAGAAGCCCGAGUGCAGAGCCAGGUCCGGCAGACGGUCCCCAGGUGCUGAUGGCCUUGCCCAGCUGCUCAUGGACCUGAGCUCCCUCGCUGUGGCUGGUAUACUGUCACUUCACCUCCAGAGAGACCAUGCUAGGUCCCCACGUGUGGGUUUCCUUCCCUGUACCUUCUCCUUCAAACCCACAGAGGUCACCAGGUGUGUCUGAACUGUAUCUUCACGCGAGGCCUCACGUGAUGCUCGACAGCCUGGCUUGUGGAGGGCCAGGCGACCAAAGCCUGAAGAGAAGAGGGGCUCAGUGUUCACUGGCCAGCCUUGGCCCUCAGGCUCUUUCCUGCUUAUCCCACCCCCUUUUCUCCUGUAUCACCUACAGGGACUUGCAUGGUAAGGGGGGCAGCUCGGGAGAAGAAGGCUGGCAUAACCCUCCCUCCCUAAGAAAAACACUAGCAGGGCUGUUUUCGGCAUCCUGACGGCUGGGGGAGCACCUUGCAGGGCUGCCUCCUAGUCCCUGGCCUGCCGUGGCCCUUGAGUCAGAAGUCGUGGAGAGAGGGGGCUGACCCAAGAUAGGUGCAGAUAGCAGGCUACUUUCCGGGUACCAAGGGGUAGAGGCUUGGGGGGCAGGGGCCCUUCAGGGGUAGGAAUGAAAGCUUACGUAUUCCAGAAGUGCAGAGGAAUCGGCCGCCAGCUGCAGUCAACCUCUACGUGGUGACCUUCCUGCUGACCCUCUCUGGCAUCUUGGUGCUGGCUGUUAUCUUCGGCCAGGCAAGCCCAUGGUCUGGGCCCUGGGCUCCUGGGUCCCCUCACCGGGGCUGCCGGCUCUUCUGUAGGUCGAGGGAGCCUUUGGGGUAAGACUACACUUGAGUCCCCUUCCCUUCUAAGUCAUGGUUUCAAAGGCCAUGGCCCUGUGCCACCACAUCACUCACGUCCCAGCGGGCCCAGCAGUCGCUGGAGCUUUGUGGGCCAAGGCCUUCCCCUCCCUGGCUGUGGUCCAGGAAAGCUGCCUCCCCCUCCAAAGCCCCACCCUCUGCCCCUGAGAGGUUGUCAGCUUAGCUUCCGUCCUAGACCUUCCCCAGCCAGGCGGUCUGUUCUCUGAGCCCGGCUUGCCCCGCAGCGCCAACCUUCCCUGGCACACAGCCGGGCCACAC
Aethalodelphis obliquidens (Pacific white-sided dolphin) is the source of this 1439-nucleotide long non-coding RNA. RefSeq lists it as uncharacterized. The record is from RefSeq and is a predicted model, not a curated record. NCBI's taxonomy places the organism in Eukaryota, Metazoa, Chordata, Mammalia, Artiodactyla, Delphinidae. The transcript has 4 exons.